CCCUAUGGCCAGACUGUACUGAUUGCAUCUGAUCACGGAAGCUGAGCAGGCCUGGGUCUGGUUAGUGUCUGCAUAGGAGACCACCUGGGAAUCCCAGGUGCUGUAGGCC
RNAcentral lists this ribosomal RNA (109 nucleotides) under Alligator mississippiensis (American alligator). Lineage: Eukaryota; Metazoa; Chordata; Crocodylia; Alligatoridae. The record is from RNAcentral.